RNAcentral lists this long non-coding RNA (3857 nucleotides) under Haliotis rufescens (red abalone). RNAcentral's name for it is "uncharacterized LOC125376728". Lineage: Eukaryota; Metazoa; Mollusca; Gastropoda; Lepetellida; Haliotidae. The record is from RNAcentral.
UGCCAUGAGCUAGGAUUGAAAGCUUGAUGAAUGGUUAAAACUGUGAUUACGACAAGAAAUCUCAAAUCAUUUGAAGCGAUAAAUGGAGUCUCAUCUCUUCCGUGAUAAUAAAAGUAUAGGUUCAUUCAGGAAGUGUCAAACAUGCGAUGGUCUUUCCGUCAGGAAAAGCGCCAACACUGGAAUAAUUAUGCAAUCAUUUUGUAUUCAGAGUAAAAGGACUUGAUCAGCAGUAGAAUUUUGACAGUAGGAUUGUAAUAUAAAUCAGGAUAAGACUAUCAAUCCCUUUUCUUGAAACACAUAGGAUACUUGUGAUAUUAGGCUUGGGAGAAUCUCCUCACGUUUGUGCUGGGGUCCUCCUUUUGUCUUAUCAGUAGUUGUGUUGGUUUGUGCAGCACUCCCGACACACGGCUUCCACCUUCAGGUGCCAUGUAGUUGUGUUGGUUUGUGCAGCACUCCCGACACACGGCUUCCACCUUCAGGUGCCAUGUAGUUGUGUUGGUUUGUGCAGCACUCCCGACACACGGCUUCCACCUUCAGGUGCCAUGUAGUUGUGUUGGUUUGUGCAGCACUCCCGACACACGGCUUCCACCUUCAGGUGCCGUGUAGUUGUGUUGGUUUGUGCAGCACUCCCGACACACGGCUUCCACCUUCAGGUGCUUUGUAGUUGUGACUGUAGUUCCCUGGUUGCUGGUACAGGUUAUGGACUCAAUGCUUGAUAUUUGUGCUAAGGAUUGAUUCAGCAGUCAAGGAUUGAUUCAGCAGUCAAGGAUUGAUGCAGCAGUCAAGGAUUGAUUCAGCAGUCAAGGAUUGAUGCAGCAGUCAAGGAUUGAUGCAGCAGUCAAGGAUUGAUAUAGCAGUCAAGGUGCUUCAGAUCUUGCAACCAGCUCAAGUGUGACAUUCUUCAGACAGAUCAUGCUGGUUUAUGCUCUUCUGGCCAAUGUUCAAUGUUCUCUAGACAGCUGUUGAAUGUUCUCCAGACCACUGUUGAAUGUUCUUCAGGUGGCUGUUAAAUGUUCUCCAGACUGCUGUUAAAUGUUCUCCAGACUGCUGUUGAAUGUUCUUCAGACUGCUGUUGGAUGUUCUCCAGACCACUGUUGGAUGUUCUUAAGACUGCUGUUGAAUGUUCUCCAGACUGCUGUUGAAUGUUCUCCAGACUGCUGUUGAAUGUUCUCCAGAUCACUGUUGAAUGUUCUUAAGACUGCUGUUGAAUGUUCUUAAGACUGCUGUUGAAUGUUCUCCAGACUGCUGUUGAAUGUUCUCCAGACUGCUGUUGGAUGUUCUUCAGACCACUGUUGAAUGUUUUCCAGACCACUGUUGAAUGUUCUCCAGACCACUGUUGAAUGUUCUUAAGACUGCUGUUGAAUGUUCUCCAGACUGCUAUUGAAUGUUCUCCAGACCGCUGUUGAAUGUUCUCCAGACCGCUGUUGAAUGUUCUCCAGACCACUGUUGAAUGUUCAUCCCAUACUGGUUGAUGGUGUUCAGAUGAGGUCAUGUGUUUAUGACAAGUGUUCUCACCACUGAUCCAUGUGUGCAAGACACUCUGUACAAGGAUAAGCUGAAGGAUUGGUGAGAUGGCAUCAAUGGGCUAUCGUGUUGUCAAUGGGCUAUCGUAUUUUCCCUGCUCAGUGCUAAACAUUCUGUCUCUCCGUCGCUUUGUGGACCCCAGCAGCUCCGUGUCCUUGUUGACCAUAUGCAGUCCUGUUUUGUCCAGGAUUUCCAGGACGAUGAUGAGUACCAGGAGUAUUGGGGAGUAGCACCUUGUGAAGACGUUACACUUGGAGUGGUUCCACUUAGGAGUAUCAGAAAUAUGUUCAUGUAGGAAAUAUAGGAUUGUGAAUAUGUACCAUACUUACUUGGGGAUCAGAAUUGUGAAUAGGUGGCACAUGGACUAUCAGGAUUGUGAAUAGGUGGCACAUGGAAUAUCAGGAUUGUGAAUAGGUGGCACAUGGAAUAUCAGGAUUGUGAAUAGGUGGCACAUGGACUAUCAGGAUUGUGAAUAGGUGGCACAUGGAAUAUCAGGAUUGUGAAUAGGUGGCACAUGGAAUAUCAGGAUUGUGAAUAGGUGGCACAUGGAAUAUCAGGAUUGUGACUAGUUGGCACAUGGAAUAUCAGAAAUACGGAUAGGUGCCAUAUGAAUAGUAUCUGGAUUGUGAAUAGGACGGGGGAAGUGGACAACCACAAGUGCUGUAUGUUCAGUGGAAUCCUGUGGAAUCCUGUAAACUCCUCCUGUACUUUCUGGGAACUAGUCGUCCAUUGCUAGAUGUGUUAUUGCCAAUAAUAUAACUAUUUUACAUGUGAGCUUGAUCUGUCCAGGUAAGUGUUGCUUUUUCAGAAUGUUUUUUCCAUUUUUGUGUGAAAUAUAUCUUACAUAUUUUGAAAUGAAAGUUAUUGUACAGUACAUUUUGAGUGAUUUUCAAUCUAAGACAUGGCAUUCUAUUUUCUCCCUCAACUUGUACAUACUGACUUGCUGCACCUAUGACUGCCAGCACCUGCCUAAUGGCUGCUUGUGACCCAGUGAUGUGUGUGAACAGUGUGCAUGCUCUCUCAAACAUUACUUCAAUCUGCACAGUCAAUAUUUUCAGUCACAUUUCACCUUCAUACACAAGUCGCAUUCUUCCAACAAUUUGCCUCUGAGAAUUCUGAUUCUAAAGAAACAGGACCUAAUGUUUCGCAGUUAUUAGACUCUAUUCCAAACAAACAUAGGACAAGUCUGGUGGUGGAGUAGACUGUGUAGAUUCCAGAAUACUGUAUAUUUUCAUAAAUAUGAUAUGUCUUUGUGUGUGUAGUGAUGGGGACCCUGUGUACCCAAGCGAGCAGCGCCAGCAGGGCUUCUCUCCACCUGCCGUAACCAUAUCUCUGUGCUGCUGUAUAAACAAUAUUGAUACUGACUUGGCGCUACACCGAGCUACAGGCCACAGUGUUUUCAGGACAGCUCAGCUACUCUCUUGUGUACGAUGGGCAAGCUAUCCAUAUCUCCAAACUACAUCAAAUAUAUCAUGGGCUUUGAUUAUAGGACUGACGUAUUAUUGGAACAUUAGAUUUCUAACCAACUUGCAUGCUCCUCAUAUUGCUGAACCAUAUAUGUAUGUAUACACGUAUGUAUGUGUGUAUGUAUACCAGGCUGCCAUCAAGGUAUAUCAUGUAUCUGGUGAAAACAUUCAGAGCUAGUUGUGCCCUGAUAGUCCAGAGAUGUGGAGGUGUGUGCUCCUAGGGUUGACCAGGGACAAUUACACCCACCCUCCUCACAUGCUCCUAGGGUUGACCAGGGACAAUUACACCCACCCUCCUUACAUGCUCCUAGGGUUGACCAGGGACAAUUACACCCACCCUCCUCGCAUGUUCCUAGGGUUGACCAGGGACAAUUACACCCAUCCUCCUGACAUGCUCCUAGGGUUGACCAGGGACAAUUACACCCAUCCUCCUGACAUGCUCCUAGGGUUGACCAGGGACAAUUACACCCACCCUCCUGACAUGCUCCUAGGGUUGACCAGGGACAAUUACACCCAUCCUCCUGACAUGCUCCUAGGGUUGACCAGGGACAAUUACACCCAUCCUCCUGACAUGCUCCUAGGGUUGACCAGGGACAAUUACACCCACCCUCCUGACAUGCUCCUAGGGUUGACCAGGGACAAUUACACCCACCCUCCUGACAUGCUCCUAGGGUUGACCAGGGACAAUUACACCCACCCUCCUUACAUGCUCCUAGGGUUGACCAGGGACAAUUACACCCACCCUCCUGACAUGCUCCUAGGGUUGACCAGGGACAAUUACACCCACCCUCCUGACAUGCUCCUAGGGUUGACCAGGGACAAUUACACCCACCCUCCUCACAUGCUCCUAGGGUUGACCAGGGACAA